RNAcentral lists this ribosomal RNA (253 nucleotides) under uncultured bacterium. RNAcentral's name for it is "partial 16S ribosomal RNA". It matches the Rfam family "Bacterial small subunit ribosomal RNA", at positions 524 to 776 of the family's 1533-position model. The record is from RNAcentral.
UACGUAGGGUGCAAGCGUUGUUCGGAAUCAUUGGGCGUAAAGCGCGUGUAGGUGGUUCAGUAAGUCGGAUGUGAAAGCCCUCGGCUCAACCGGGGAAGUGCAUCCGAAACUACAUAGCUAGAGGACGGUAGAGGAAGGUGGAAUUCCUAGUGUAGAGGUGAAAUUCGUAGAUAUUAGGAGGAACACCAGUGGCGAAGGCGACACACUGGGCCAUUACUGACGCUGAGGCGCGAAAGCGUGGGGAGCAAACAGG